UGAAAUAAAAAAUUCAUGCCUGAUUUGGGACUAAAGGAGGAAUUUGGCAAAGUCACAUUUUGGCACAUCCUGCUGUUAUCCUUUCAUUCUUCUAUUUUCAGAGAAAGUAUUACAAAAUAUUUGGUUUCCCUCCUCCCUACCCCCUCUCCCCCGAAUUAGUGACAACUGGUCUGUUUCUUUAUUCCAAACAGUCAUUGUUGGACACUCUGCCAAGUUUCAUGAAUCUCAACCUAACAAGCCAUUUCAGUACCACUGACAUGAGUCCCUUUCCCCCUUACAUAUCUUCUGCCGUAAUUUCACUUUCUCAAUGCUACCUUUCCAUCUCUAUCAUUUUCUCCCCCCUCUUUCUCUUGAUGCUCUUAUAUGUAUUAUCUUUUUUUUUUAAAUAUUGUUUUCUCCUUAAUCCAUUUAUUGCUUCUGAACUUGGAGCAUUUCUAUUGGACUACCAGAUAUUUCUGGUCUUUCUAACUCCAAAUCAAAUCUCUUAAAAGUGAUGGGUGGCACUUUGUUAAAGAAACCGCAGGGAAAAACAAAUUGUCUGUCCUGAAAAUUUCCAAAUUAAAUGUGUUUUCACCAGAUUUCCUUUAGAAAUUAAAGAGAAAAGACUUUUAACUCCCUAAACUUCAUAGUUGUCAAAUUUAAUCUAAUGCUUUUAUUUCUUCAAAAUAUUUGUUGCUCUUUCACACACAAGUCAGGUAUAAAUAUAGGAGAACAUAGAACUACAGAGGUAAAGCCUUCAGGGAAAUUGGUAUUAAUCAUUUUCAAAUCUGUGCCCAGUUUUAGAAUAUAAUGGAUCUUCAUCAUUUCUGUGGUCUUUGUAUGUGUACAAUUUUAUUUUAAAAAUUAUGCACUUCUCAAAGACACUCACAAAAGUGACUUAAAACUGUGGCAACAAAAUGAUGUGAACAAGGACACACACACAUACCCUUUAAUUCACACUGUUUCAGAAUGUCUAAAUAUUCCCUUCUGUAUUUGAAAAAAAUGAGGGAUAGGGAAGAAUAAGGGGAAUAGUAGCAAAGGAAAGGAAGCCUUAAAAAAAAUGAGAUCCAUCUUAAAGAGUAGAAUUUUGUGUGAUAGUGGGGAUAUGGGAGAAAAUAUGAAAAGAAAAAAAAAAAACCUUUCCUUACAGUGGGUAGCAAGAACAGUUGAAGGCACAUAUGAUCUCCCAUUAGAGUUCAGUUUCUCUUAGAGCCUUCCUGUUUUCUUUGAAGCUAGUAACUACACCAUAGGUAAAUAAAUGCUAAUUGGAGAAAACUAGAGGUGAAUACUAUCAGCUUCCUUCUUCCUUCCUUAGCUGUGGGGCCCACUAUUCUUGUUUUGCUUAAAAGUAAUUAAUUUAGGGAUUUUCAAGCCCAAUUGAAGUGAAGAGGAUGUAAUGAAAAAUCAGUAGAUUAUUAGGGAAGCAAACACCUUUUGGGUGUAUGGUAUUCAAUUACAGGGUAGGCCCAUUUAUUUUGAGUUUUGAGACGUGCAAUCUGAAAAUUUCUUUUAGUGUAUACCUAGUAACAAAUUUUGAGUCUUCUUAUUUAAUUAUUUAGCUUAGCAAAUCUGUGCCUUACUGCUACUAGGGCAUUGUAUGUUCAUAGAGGGGGAAGGCUUUCUAGUGGAAUGGGGAAAAUAGUUACUUAAUGGGAAAAUAAAUUAUUUCACUGUUUUUAAUGUUAAUUUUUGGAGAUAAUUCAUUAAAGUGAAUGACAAAAUAUUUUUGCAUACUCUACAAGUAUAGUACACUUUUAUAUGAAACUGGUUAUCUCAAUGUUUAUAAGUCUGAAAUGUUACUUCAUCUUUUGAUUUUUAAUUUAGCUUUAUUGUUAACAUUGUAAACCUGUGGAAAGUAGGAUACAUUUUAAAAUGAUGUUUUAGACAACCCUGUUUUAAAUGAAUUACUUUAGCAUGGAGUUAAAACUGUUGUAGUUCCCAUAGAAUCAAUUGCUAUAAAUUAGCUAUUCCUUUUCAAUUCUGUUAUAAAUUAGCUAUGUAUGUAUCAUAUCAAAUGAUGAUAAUGUUAAAAAUUGCUUGUGUCCAUGGGUUUAUAGAUAGUUUUGAUUAUUUGUAAAUAAUUCACAAAGGGGAUGAUUUGAAUUUUGUACUUUCAAAAAAAAGUCUUUUGGUUAUGGGGUAAUGGUGUAUAAAGGUUUUUCUUUCAGAAAUGAGAAAAAAAAUUCUGGUCAAACCUGGCAGGUAUAUGCAUUUCUAAUUUGCCACUAGUGAAGGUUUAUAAAUAUUAAAACAGUUGACAGGAAAGCUUUUUAGAAGUUGGGUGGUGAAUUAAUCAUGUGUGGGAAAAUGAGAUUUAUAAGUAGUUUUCCAUUUGGGAUGAAAAUCAGAAAUGCAAGCCAAGUUGGCUUCAUGUCUUGUUAAAAGAAAAAGGUGAUGAAUUACAUUAAAACAACUCAUUCUAUAUCGUAUACUUAGAAGGGUUCCCCAAAGUAUUUGUACCAUAAACGUCAUCUAUAUAGCUUGGCAAAGCAAAAAUGAGUGUUCAUUUAGCUGUGUUUUCCAUUAAAGUUCUGUGUGUGUGGUUUGUAUGCAUUGCACACAUGGUACAUUUUCCAUCAGAAGAGAAAUGCUCAGCAUAUGUCUUGAUAUUAUGGGAGUUGGCAGGGAGAGUAGAGAUGAAGUCCACUCUGGCUAUAACUCCAUCAGUCAUUAGGAGGAUCAGUUAAAUAUUCAAGAAGAGUUUACUACUCCUUACUAUACCAGCAUCAUUUAGUCUUUCCAACCAGCCUGAAUGAAAGACACAAAGGAUCAGGUGGUAUGUUUUGUCUCAAUAGAAGGCUUCAGUCCCCAAGGCUCUUAUGAAAGCCUGUCUCUCCUGGUCAACCAUUAUAAAAAAACAGCUAUUUCCUUCAUCUACUAGGUAUCUUUCCUUAGGUACCAGCCACAGACUCGGAAGAUGCAAUCCAUACAAAACAUUUGUAUAUCAGCAUUUUAUCUUUUCAGCCUUCCUCUCUAGUUUUCUGAAGUUCAUUUUGCAAUCCUUUCUGAAAGAGUAUUUAUAUAGUCCAGUGUUGUAGAGGCUACAAAUGGUCUCCUAACUUUUAUAGGCCAAUUUAUUCAUCUUGCCCAGUGGAAAAGAAAUGAAGGCCAGAGCAUGUGGAAAAGAGGCCAUGAUACUCUGGACAUUCAAUUCCCUCCAUCAUCAUGUUCAUAGGAUUAGCCCUUAGCAUUUCUUAGCUUUUACUUUCUUUGGAGAGAUAUUUGACCAUCUAAAAAUAUACAAAUUAUGUUCCAGUUUCUUCUAAAUUCUCUAAGUUGAUGACUGUCUUCUAUUUUAAAUUAUUUUUUUCCCUAAAAAAAAAAUUAAGGAUAUUGUCUUUUUUUUCACUCCACCCCUUCUGAAUACUGCUCAGAAAUCAAUGAGUGCUAGUAAAUUUGAGAAUGUCUCAUUUUAAAACAAUCUGUUGUCUGGCCCCAACAAUUUGUGUGUGACCUGUCUCUCUGGCUGAUACUUUGCCAAACUAAAUCUAAAUUCUCAAAAUAAAC
Molecule: long non-coding RNA, 3486 nt
Filed under: Sarcophilus harrisii (Tasmanian devil)
Lineage: Eukaryota; Metazoa; Chordata; Mammalia; Dasyuromorphia; Dasyuridae
Description: lncRNA (ENSSHAG00000024136.1)
Source: RNAcentral